UUCUGGAGGCUGAGGAGCCCCAGGUUGAGGGGCUUCAUCUGGUGAGAGCCUUCUUGCUGGUGGAGACUCUGAAGAGUCCCGAAGUGGUGUGGGGAAACAUAUGGUUUGUUUUUUAUCAGUGUGUUGUACAGAGCGAAUGGCCUCGGACCUUCAAUGGCUGUGCACUGCUUUCUCAGGACUUUCCCUCAAAGGGAAGAACUGACCCUUAUCUCUUUCCCUUUUCUCCACCAUUAGAGCUCAGAGAUCCCAAGAGGCAAAGCGGGGAAAGUUUUAGAAAUCAUUUCACUCUGGAAAGCUUUCAGAUCACAGAUUCCUGCUCAUAAGUGGAUAAAUGAUGCAGUAAAAUUGAACAAACACAGCUCGUCCUACAUUCUGAAGAUGGGGCACAUUUAUCAGAAGAGAAAAACUGCCAGAGAGAAUUCACAUCAGUGCAGACCGAGAGUCUCAGAUGGCUAAGAGAUGUGCCUGACAACUUUUCAGAAAUAAGACUAUUAAAAGAAGGUCAGCUUGGAGUCUUACUGCGAAGAAUUAUAAACAGGCACGUGGAUUAUAAAUAGGGAGUUGGCAUGGUGGUUAAAUUUUUCUAAAACAGUCAUAUUAAUGUGUUCAAAAAUCCACUGCUGAGUCUCAGAGAGAGGGUCACAUCU
RNAcentral lists this long non-coding RNA (647 nucleotides) under Homo sapiens (human). RNAcentral describes it as "HSALNT0323446". Lineage: Eukaryota; Metazoa; Chordata; Mammalia; Primates; Hominidae. The record is from RNAcentral.